ACGAACGCUGGCGGCGUGCUUAACACAUGCAAGUCGAACGGAAAGGCCCUGCUUUUGUGGGGUGCUCGAGUGGCGAACGGGUGAGUAACACGUGAGUAACCUGCCCUUGACUUUGGGAUAACUUCAGGAAACUGGGGCUAAUACCGGAUAGGAGCUCCUGCUGCAUGGUGGGGGUUGGAAAGUUUCGGCGGUUGGGGAUGGACUCGCGGCUUAUCAGCUUGUUGGUGGGGUAGUGGCUUACCAAGGCUUUGACGGGUAGCCGGCCUGAGGAGGGGACCGGCCACAUGUGGGAUGAAGAAAGGACCGGACUCACAAAGGAGGGCAGGAGGGGGGAAUAUAGCACAAGGGGGGAGAGCGUAGCACAGAAACGCCGUGGGAGGAUAAACGCCUUUCGUGUUGAAAACCGUUGUCGCAUGGCAGAAAGGGGGAGGAGGGUAAGGGGGAAGAGAAAGACGGGCAAAGUCGGUC
Molecule: ribosomal RNA, 468 nt
Filed under: uncultured bacterium
Lineage: Bacteria
Description: partial 16S ribosomal RNA
Rfam family: Bacterial small subunit ribosomal RNA
Source: RNAcentral